Molecule: ribosomal RNA, 506 nt
Filed under: uncultured bacterium
Lineage: Bacteria
Description: partial 16S ribosomal RNA
Rfam family: Bacterial small subunit ribosomal RNA
Source: RNAcentral
AGUGAACGCUAGCGGUAGGCCUAACACAUGCAAGUCGAACGGCAGCACAGGAGAGCUUGCUCUCUGGGUGGCGAGUGGCGGACGGGUGAGGAAUACAUCGGAAUCUACUCUGUCGUGGGGGAUAACGUAGGGAAACUUACGCUAAUACCGCAUACGACCUACGGGUGAAAGCAGGGGACCUUCUGGCCUUGCGCGAUUGAAUGAGCCGAUGUCGGAUUAGCUAGUUGGCGGGGUAAAGGCCCACCAAGGCGACGAUCCGUAGCUGGUCUGAGAGGAUGAUCAGCCACACUGGAACUGAGACACGGUCCAGACUCCUACGGGAGGCAGCAGUGGGGAAUAUUGGACAAUGGGCGCAAGCCUGAUCCAGCCAUACCGCGUGGGUGAAGAAGGCCUUCGGGUUGUAAAGCCCUUUUGUUGGGAAAGAAAUCCAGCUGGCUAAUACCCGGUUGGGAUGACGGUACCCAAAGAAUAAGCACCGGCUAACUCCGUGCCAGCCGCCGCCGUAA